RNAcentral lists this transfer RNA (71 nucleotides) under Cordylochernes scorpioides. RNAcentral's name for it is "tRNA-Thr". The record is from RNAcentral. Lineage: Eukaryota; Metazoa; Arthropoda; Arachnida; Pseudoscorpiones; Chernetidae.
GGGUAGUCUAGUGGACAUGGCAUCUGCCCGGUAAGCGGAACACUGUGGGUUCGAUUCCCAGUUGUUCAAUU